GGCAAUGUCAUCUGCAAUUCUCUAUAAAAUUCUUGAAUAUGUAUGGUCCCUAUGGCCAAGGGAGGGAGUUUGUUCUACACAAUGGGCAAAUUCUUCAUACUGAGUAUCAUGAAAAUGCUGUUCAUGUUGGAUACAUACAGGAAAAUGAAGGUGUAUAUGUAUACAGUAUGCAAUUACCUCCAACCAUCUUCCUGUCGGCAGAUCUCAGUUGGCAUCAGACAUGCUUGCAUCCCCUAUUUCUUCACCUCUCUCAUAUAGUCCAAGGCAUAAGGCAUAUAAGUUUCUUUUGUGCACUACUAUUGGGACAAAGAAGUGCAUCCCCUAUUUCUUCACCUCUCUCAUAUAGUCUAAGGAAUAUAAGUUUCUUUUGUGCACUACUAUUGGGACAAAGAAGUGCAGUUACCUUUUUCCCACAAUGUCCAAGAUAUACUGAAGAUGCUCUUCAUAUUGUCUUUUGUAAUUUUCACUUCUAUAUGUUGUGGAUCCUCCUCAAUUUGAUGCCGACUUAUUCAAACAAUAUGUACAACUGCUAUAGCAUGAAUGUUGCCUUGCCUUCACUUAUGGGCUGGAUGUUUCCAAUUGCUUUUCUCCGGUUCUGUGACUUCAUUAAGCACAGGCUACAAUACCUUACCUGCUGUAUACUUGUUAUCAUCUCAUGCUGCCUGCUUUUGUAUCUGGAUUCGCUUCUUUAUGGUGGUCAACUGACUUCAUUAGCCUAUCAUCUACAAGGGAUCAACUGACUUCAUUAGCCUCUCAUCUACAGGGGUUCUCUCUGUUAUGUAGUCUGCUAGUACUCUGGUUUUGUAAUAUAUCACAGUGGUCUUUCUUUUUUUCAGUACAAAUUCAUUCCAUACGAUGUCGUCACUCGUGUAUGUUAUUUUGGGUUCAUUGUACUCAGGCCUUUUGAUUCUUUAUGCUCGUACCUUUUACUCAAUGAAUCAAUGAAAUUCUACUCCAAUCAGGCCUUUUGAUUCUUUAUGCUCGUACCUUUUACUCAAUGAAUCAAUGAAAUUCUACUCCAACAACAACUCAAUGAAUCAAUGAAAUUCUACUCCAAUCAGGCCUUUUGAUUCUUUAUGCUCGUACCUUUUACUCAACAACAACAACAACAACAACAACAACAACAACAACAACAAAUUCCAAUUUAAAAAAUAAAAAUAAGCUAAACGUUAACCUCUAUUUCUACUCCCAACAAUUUCUCACACUUACAGUACGUAGGCACGCAUGUCCACUAUCUUGGUCACGGGCAAGUUUGAGAAAGACCUCUCCAGCCAAAUCAUGAAAAGGAAAAGAAAGAAAAUAAAAACCUUAAAAAUUCUCAUAGAAAGACUUUUUUUUUUUGAUCUUUGGGAUUAAUAUCUAAUUGGC
Molecule: long non-coding RNA, 1368 nt
Filed under: Elaeis guineensis (African oil palm)
Lineage: Eukaryota; Viridiplantae; Streptophyta; Magnoliopsida; Arecales; Arecaceae
Description: long non-coding RNA (EGUI_LNC044514)
Source: RNAcentral